RNAcentral lists this long non-coding RNA (356 nucleotides) under Olea europaea (common olive). RNAcentral describes it as "long non-coding RNA (OEUR_LNC010243)". The record is from RNAcentral. Lineage: Eukaryota; Viridiplantae; Streptophyta; Magnoliopsida; Lamiales; Oleaceae.
GUGUACUCAACAAAAGAUAAAUUUUAGUUAAGUCAAACCCAUCAUUCAGAAAUAUCAAAUAUUUCAUAGUGUCAAACAUAUCCCUAAUGGACCAGCCUUGAGUGUACUCAACAAACUGAGACGAUUUAGGAUUCUCGUUUUUCACUAUAAUGAUGGAAGGUGAUUACAAAUGUGACUUAAUAUUUUAUUGAGGGGAUUUGCAUACAACUCUUAGAUCAUUAAGUUGACAACUCCUUGUCCUCACAUAUUUUAUCAUGUCUCUAAAAUCUAUCUCCUUGAGUGUACUCAACAAAAGAUAAACUUUAGUUAAGUCGGACCCAUCAUUCAGAAACAUCUGAUAUUUCAUAGUGUCAGAC